RNAcentral lists this ribosomal RNA (497 nucleotides) under uncultured bacterium. RNAcentral's name for it is "partial 16S ribosomal RNA". It matches the Rfam family "Bacterial small subunit ribosomal RNA", at positions 28 to 507 of the family's 1533-position model. The record is from RNAcentral.
GACGAACGCUGGCGGCGUGCCUAAUGCAUGCAAGUAGAACGCUGAAGCGAGGAGCUUACUCUUCUUGGAUGAGUUGCGAACGGGUGAGUAACGCGUAGGUAACCUGCCUUGUAGCGGGGGAUAACUAUUGGAAACGAUAGCUAAUACCGCAUAACAAUGGAUGACACAUGUCAUUUAUUUGAAAGGGGCAAUUGCUCCACUACAAGAUGGACCUGCGUUGUAUUAGCUAGUAGGUGAGGUAAUGGCUCACCUAGGCGACGAUACAUAGCCGACCUGAGAGGGUGAUCGGCCACACUGGGACUGAGACACGGCCCAGACUCCUACGGGAGGCAGCAGUAGGGAAUCUUCGGCAAUAGGGGCAACCCUGACCGAGCAACGCCGCGUGAGUGAAGAAGGUUUUCGGAUCGUAAAGCUCUGUUGUAAGUCAAGAACGGGGGUGAGAGUGGAAAGUUCACACUGUGACGGUAGCUUACCAGAAAGGGACGGCUAACUACGUG